This 497-nucleotide ribosomal RNA is filed under the name uncultured bacterium. RNAcentral describes it as "partial 16S ribosomal RNA". It matches the Rfam family "Bacterial small subunit ribosomal RNA", at positions 28 to 507 of the family's 1533-position model. The record is from RNAcentral.
GAUGAACGCUGGCGGCGUGCCUAAUACAUGCAAGUCGAGCGAACAGACGAGGAGCUUGCUCCUCUGACGUUAGCGGCGGACGGGUGAGUCACACGUGGAUAACCUACCUAUAAGACUGGGAUAACUUCGGGAAACCGGAGCUAAUACCGGAUAAUAUCUUGAACCGCAUGGUUCAAUAGUGAAAGACGGUUUUGCUGUCACUUAUAGAUGGAUCCGCGCUGCAUUAGCUAGUUGGUAAGGUAACGGCUUACCAAGGCAACGAUGCGUAGCCGACCUGAGAGGGGGAUCGGCCACACUGGAACUGAGACACGGUCCAGACGCCUACGGUAGGCAGCAGUAGGGAAUCUUCCGCAAUGGGCGAAAGCCUUACGGAGCAACGCCGCGUGAGUGAUGAAGGUCUUCGGAUCGUAAAACUCUGUUAUUAGGGAAGAACAAAUGUGUAAGUAACUAUGCACGUCUUGACGGUACCUAAUCAGAAAGCCACGGCUAACUACGUG